AGUCCUGCUUCUGCGUUUACUUUUAGUUCUAGAAAUUUUCACUAGUGUUUGGUGUUGGCUUAAAUAGACCAGCAUUCUGCCCUGUAGAGGGAGACUAUGUUGGACCGAGUCAUGUUCGAAAUGACAUGAGACUGGGUGGACGGAAUCAUGUUCGAAGUGGUGUGAGACUGGUUAGGCCGAAUCACAAUCAAGAUCCGUGGGCGCUGUAUCUAUACCCUUUAAGUGAAUUGGUUGCGUAUUUCUACCAGCUCGAGUUUUUAGGAUUAAUAAUUAGCACCAACGAUCCGACAUUCGGUUGACUAGGUAUUGAGUCAUAUCUUACGUUAUUAGAUAAAAUUUGUUGGAAUGAAAGUAUAUAGAGAUAUGCUUCUGUAUUUUUCCGGUAAAACCGUAAUAACCGACUGAUCGACGGAACACAAUAUUACAUACAAAAAUAAAUAAAUAGGAUAAUUUUUUAUUGCAUUUUCUCACUGUACGUAACGCAAUCUUCCAGCAAUCCCAAAUGAAGCCUAGAAAGGUCGGUAUUUUGCUGUAUCAUAAAUCUGAAAUGCAAUUUUGUUCCAAAACCGAAAACUCACUAAC
This 582-nucleotide long non-coding RNA is filed under the name Ananas comosus (pineapple). Its description in RNAcentral is "long non-coding RNA (ACOM_LNC007779)". The record is from RNAcentral. Lineage: Eukaryota; Viridiplantae; Streptophyta; Magnoliopsida; Poales; Bromeliaceae.